RNAcentral lists this ribosomal RNA (527 nucleotides) under uncultured bacterium. RNAcentral describes it as "bacterial SSU rRNA". It matches the Rfam family "Bacterial small subunit ribosomal RNA", at positions 777 to 1304 of the family's 1533-position model. The record is from RNAcentral.
AAUAGAUACCCAGGUAGUCCACGCCGUAAACGAUGUCGACUUGGAGGUUGUUCCCUUGAGGAGUGGCUUCCGGAGCUAACGCGUUAAGUCGACCGCCUGGGGAGUACGGCCGCAAGGUUAAAACUCAAAUGAAUUGACGGGGGCCCGCACAAGCGGUGGAGCAUGUGGUUUAAUUCGAUGCAACGCGAAGAACCUUACCUACUCUUGACAUCCACGGAACUUUUCAGAGAUGAAUUGGUGCCUUCGGGAACCGUGAGACAGGUGCUGCAUGGCUGUCGUCAGCUCGUGUUGUGAAAUGUUGGGUUAAGUCCCGCAACGAGCGCAACCCUUAUCCUUUGUUGCCAGCGGUCCGGCCGGGAACUCAAAGGAGACUGCCAGUGAUAAACUGGAGGAAGGUGGGGAUGACGUCAAGUCAUCAUGGCCCUUACGAGUAGGGCUACACACGUGCUACAAUGGCGCAUACAAAGAGAAGCGACCUCGCGAGAGCAAGCGGACCUCAUAAAGUGCGUCGUAGUCCGGAUUGGAGU